RNAcentral lists this microRNA (24 nucleotides) under Caenorhabditis remanei. RNAcentral's name for it is "crm-miR-85". Its record names the gene crm-miR-85. Lineage: Eukaryota; Metazoa; Nematoda; Chromadorea; Rhabditida; Rhabditidae. The record is from miRBase by way of RNAcentral.
UACAAAGUAUUCGAAAAGGCGUGC